RNAcentral lists this long non-coding RNA (219 nucleotides) under Calidris pygmaea (Spoon-billed sandpiper). RNAcentral's name for it is "lncRNA (ENSCPGG00000005442.1)". The record is from RNAcentral. Lineage: Eukaryota; Metazoa; Chordata; Aves; Charadriiformes; Scolopacidae.
GUGGGUUCUUGUCUCAAACACUCUUUCUCUGACGAUACAACAGAACACGAGGCAAAGGGGUGAAGCAACGACUGACAGGCAAGAAUAUCCUCGACUGUGACACCAGACUUCUCUGUCAGAAACCUCACCUGAUCCAGGCUCAAGAUCUCACGGCUGCUGAGAUUCCUGCUCCUUUUUUCGCUCCUCCUAAAGCAGAAACUUCCCUGGUGGUAACCUGGA